Cornus florida is the source of this 387-nucleotide long non-coding RNA. RefSeq lists it as uncharacterized. Lineage: Eukaryota; Viridiplantae; Streptophyta; Magnoliopsida; Cornales; Cornaceae. The transcript has 2 exons. The record is from RefSeq and is a predicted model, not a curated record.
UUGAAAGAUAGAGCAUUUAGAGAAGUACAAAGAGAAAGGUAGAGGAAACAAAUAGAGAGUUUGAGAACAGAGCCGAGUUGCAGGGAGGGCUGAAGGUUUGAGGCUCCAUUAAUUAAUAUUUUUAUUUUACAGGUUUCAGGUACUGAGGAUGAACUUGGAUUGCUAGUAGCGGGCUUAGGUGGAAGAUUUGGUGUUGAGGAUUUAUUAUUUAUUUUAGAGAUGUUGUAUUAUUUAUUUGAGGAAACUAAUUUUGUAUCAAUAAAAUGAUUUUUUUUUUUUUUGGAGAUCUUGGGUGUAAUACUGAUGUAUUUAGAUUUGAAUAAAUCGAGAAAUUUAUUUAUUAAAAUUUUCGGGGCGUGACAGAAUACCCCGUGGACAUUUUUGGAA